Molecule: long non-coding RNA, 3455 nt
Organism: Alligator mississippiensis (American alligator)
Lineage: Eukaryota; Metazoa; Chordata; Crocodylia; Alligatoridae
Exons: 2
Source: RefSeq, a predicted model, not a curated record
CCUCCAAAAGCUAUAGGAGGUGAAACCCAGGCUACAAACUUUCAUUUUUUCCCCCCAAGGGUCCAUUUCAAAACCCAGAUCCAAAUGCCCCCCCAGGAUAGAACACCAUCUGGGAAAAAGAGACAUAAAACUAUGCAUAUUGCAGACUGACUUGGUCCCGUGAUGUCGAAACCCACUGUGCACCUAGUAUCAUAUAUUUAAGUACCACGAUGUAAGUAAUAGCUUAGAAGUACUUAUUGGGCAGAGUUUUGAGGAGAUAUUCUGGGAGGAAAGAAGAGCUGACUUGUUUCUUUGAUUUCUUGGCUGACUCAAUUCAUUAAGGGAUUAGGGUUCAUUGAUGGUGGGUGGUCACUUGUGGAUGGCAUAGCUAAUUCCUUCUCCAAGGUCCUCAGAGCUUAUUGGGUGGGCAUUUUUAAUUGAAAAUUAAAGCUAAAUACAUACAAAUAUUGAGCCAAUAAAAUAGUCCUACCCCGUACCUCCCACUCCAUGCAAACAUCAAAAUACUUUAGAAACAGUCAAUAACCCUCCAAAUGUCCUUUCAGGGACAUCCAUCAUGCAGGUAGCAACACAGAUGUUCGGUGGCUUGGCCUGAACCGCUCCAGAGGUGGACAUAUAGCUCAUGUCAGACUCCCCUUCUAGUAGCUUGUUAGGAAAAGAAAGCUGGGACUCUACCAGUGUGCUUGCAUAUAUUCUCACUCACGUAUAUCCCCAUUACAAGAACACUAAUAUAUAUUUAAAAACCCAAACUGUUUAUUUAAAAACUGGUUGGCUCCUACUUUUACAGCAACACGUGCACAAAUAUCUUGUUUGGAUAUUUUUACAGCCAUUAAUUUUUCCUUCUAUAACCCAGACCUCCCAUUAGGUGUUGCAAACUGGAUCCAGUCUCCCGUUGCCAAGUAUAUUGCAAUUAAAUUGAAGUCACCUUUGGUCUUAAUGAACCCUUGUUGUUGGGCUAAUGUGAUGAUUAAUUCCAGCUGUGCACAUUGGGUAUUUAUGUAGGUGGAUGGGUGGAGAUGCUUGUUUCCCUCAGAGGCUGUAGGAGGUAAUAGGAAGAGUCAACACUUGAGAUUUAUUAGCAAUGCUUUGCAUGAAGUCCAAGCUGAGAUUGGAGCCACACUGUGCUAGGUGCUGUACAGACAUCCUGGCUGGAGUGAUCCUGUAUUUAAAAACGUUACCAGAUAACCAAUCUUCCUACUCCUUCAGCUACUUCGGCCAUCUGAUCUCAUCCAGCAGUGUGCUCCACACCUUGCUAGUUCGCAGAAGCCUUCUGCUUAGCUGCAGGCUGCCAGAGGUUCAAAGACAGGAAAGGCCCUAAAACUCAGGGAAAUAUAGACACACUAGCUCCAGAAAUUAAAAUGCAAUCCAAACUUGGACUGUGCUAGCAAAGACCUGAGAUUUUGCCUUGCUUACAAGUAAAGUUUGACCUUUCCUCUCCAUGGGGAGAGAGAGAGAGGCUCUGAGGCCUUGAUCAUCGUGGCGUUGUCCACAUGAGCUGCAUGGUGCAACUGCAUAGGGUCCCACUGACUUCUCGGAGGAUCUGUCCAGAUUACAGAAACCAGACCGAGGAUGAGAUGGAUCCGAUUCUUCUAUCGCAAAACCCAGGAUAAAUUAGAGCAGCUUCCCUGAAGCUCAGUAGAGUUAUUUUGGUUGCAGCAAAAUCAGCCCCUAUGAUUUUAGACGGAUUAGUGAAAAAGGACCAGUUAAUUAGCUUGCAAGAUCAAGGCAGAACCGUCUCCUAUUGCAUAACUGUUAAGAGAGCUUUAAUAGUACACCUACAUAAAACAUACUGCAUGUAAGCACAGCCAACCCCGUUAGUUAUGCCUGAGCUGAAUUUGACUCCCCCUCCUCAAAAUAGACCUUAAGAGAGAACUGAAACCAUGUUCACGUUGCAUUUUGCGCUGCAAAGAAAAGUGAAAGUUCAAAUGGGUUUUGAAGCCGACCGAGAAUAAACUUUGCCCCGUGGAAAGUAUUUGCAUGUCAAUGUUUCUGCUUGCAAACUUAAUUACAAAUGAACCUCUCAUCUUGCUGAAAAGAGACACCAGCCUAAUGGCAGAAAGGCAGUAAUUUUAUUUUUUUUUUUUUAAUUAAAGUUUCCAGUCUUGUGAUUAACUCUUCCUACAGAGGGUGCAGCCAUCCCCUCCUGCAGAAUAUCCUGAGGAAAAGGGAAAGUUACGGCACUCUUUCUGCUAGGUCAACUUUGCUGCUGUCUUCAGCUGUGUGCUUCUGGGAGGAAGAGGGGCUUGCUGAUCCAGGGAGAGCUCAGCUGUAUUUAAAAUGUCGAUGGGGAGCCCCUAGCAAGCCCACAGGAACAGUUCUCAGUCCCAUUGGGAUCAAUAAGAGUUUUGCCUCUGACACCCCCAGGACCAGGUCCACCAAGAAGUGUUUGCAGAGCCAUGGAGUCAGUUCACAGAUCUCUUGGGAGAGAGGAGAGUGGGGGAAACCAAUAAUAGGCUGAAGAGAAUCCCCUUCCCCCUGUUAACUGGAGGCAAUGUCUAAACCAGUGGCUCUCCACCUUUUUGGAUUCAAGGCACCCCUCACUGGAUAUGAUGCCCCCCUCCACAGCUUUUGCACCCAGUUAAAAAAACUAAUGUAUAUUUUACAGUGCUUUCCUACGUCUACAGGGGCUGGGCAGUAGGGGUGGGAGAUCACCCAGGCAGGCUGAGUGAUCCUGGUCUGGCUUAUCUGCAUAUCUCUUCAUAUCUCACUUAUCUCCUCGCACCUUGUGGCACCGUUCAAAGGGUCUGGGGCACCCCAGGGUACCCCAGCACCCUGGCUGAGAAUCACUGAUCCAAACAAAAAGGAACCCCAUCCUAUCCAAGGUUGCCCGACCGACCACCAGCUCAUUAUGAUUUUUUAUUUGUGUUUCAUAGUAGAUCGGGUCAGAAGGGACCUGAGCAGAUCACCAAGUCCAACCCCCUGCCGUGGCAGGAAAGAGCACUGGGUCAAAUGACCCCAGCGAGGGUUUCAUCCAGACUCCUUUUAAAGACCCCCAGGGUAGGAGCCAGCACCACUUCUCUUGGAAGUUGGUUCCAGAUCCUAGCUGCCCUGACAGUGAUGUAGCGCCUCCUGAUGUCUAGUCUGAAUCUACCCUCUGCCAGCUUGUGACCGUUGUUUCUAGUCACUCCUGGGAGUGCUCGGGGGAACAGGGACUCCCCCAGUGCCUGCUGGUCGCCCCUGACUAGUUUGUAACAGGCCACUAGAUCCCCUUCAGCCUCCUCUGGUGGAGGCUGAACAGGUUCAGGUCCCGUAGCCUCUCCUUGCAGGGCUUGCCCUGCUGCCACUGGAUCAUGCGAGUGGCCUCUUCUGGAUCCUCUCCAUGCUGUCCACAUCCCUCCUGAAGUGCGGCGCCCAGAACUGGACGCAGUACUCCAGCUGUGGCCUGACCAGUGUCGCAUAGAGGGGGAGGAUCACCACCUUGGACCUGCUCGAGACGCAUCUGUGGAUACAUGACAAGG